This 582-nucleotide ribosomal RNA is filed under the name Apis cerana cerana. RNAcentral's name for it is "partial 16S ribosomal RNA". It matches the Rfam family "Bacterial large subunit ribosomal RNA", at positions 1792 to 2646 of the family's 2925-position model. Lineage: Eukaryota; Metazoa; Arthropoda; Insecta; Hymenoptera; Apidae. The record is from RNAcentral.
UUAUUCACCUGUUUAUCAAAACAUGGCCUAUUGAGUAUAAUUUUAGGUCGAUCUGCUCCAUGAAAUAAAUUUAAAUAGCUGCAGUAUAUUGACUGUACAAAGGUAGCAUAAUAAAUUGUCUUUUAAUUGAAGAAUUGAAUGAAUGAAUUGAUGAAAUAACAACUGUCUCUAUUUUAUUUAAUGAAUUUAAAUUUUUAGUAAAAAUUCUGAAAUUUAAUUAUGGGACGAUAAGACCCUAUAGAAUUUUAUUUAAUAUAAUUAUUUAUUUAAAUUAUUUGUGAAUAUAUAAUUAAUUUAAAUUUGAUUGGGAGGAUUGGUAAAUAAAAAUAACUUUAUCUAAAAAUUAAUUUUGAUGAAAAGAUUUUUUUUGACUUAUAAUUUAUGAUUAAAAGAAUAAAUUACCUUAGGGAUAACAGCGUAAUAUCUUUUGAUAGACCACAUUGAUAAAGAUGUUUGCGACCUCGAUGUUGAAUUAAGAGAAAAGUUAAACGCAGGAGUUUAAAAUUUUAAGUCUGUUCGACUUUUAAAAUCUUACAUGAUUUGAGUUCAAAUCGACGUAAGUCAGAUUGGUUUCUAUCUAUA